GGAGAGGUGGCAGAGUGGCCGAUCGCGCACGCCUUGAGAGCGUGUUCCCGCCUUUGGCGGGACGUGGGUUCGAAUCCCACCCUCUCCGCCA
Molecule: transfer RNA, 91 nt
Filed under: Candidatus Roizmanbacteria bacterium RIFOXYA1_FULL_41_12
Lineage: Bacteria; Candidatus Roizmaniibacteriota
Also listed under: 3 other names
Description: tRNA-Ser
Rfam family: tRNA
About the family: Transfer RNA (tRNA) molecules are approximately 80 nucleotides in length. Their secondary structure includes four short double-helical elements and three loops (D, anti-codon, and T loops). Further hydrogen bonds mediate the characteristic L-shaped molecular structure. tRNAs have two regions of fundamental functional importance: the anti-codon, which is responsible for specific mRNA codon recognition, and the 3' end, to which the tRNAs corresponding amino acid is attached (by aminoacyl-tRNA synthetases). tRNAs cope with the degeneracy of the genetic code in two manners: having more than one tRNA (with a specific anti-codon) for a particular amino acid; and 'wobble' base-pairing, i.e. permitting non-standard base-pairing at the 3rd anti-codon position.
Source: RNAcentral